RNAcentral lists this ribosomal RNA (445 nucleotides) under uncultured bacterium. RNAcentral's name for it is "bacterial SSU rRNA". It matches the Rfam family "Bacterial small subunit ribosomal RNA", at positions 354 to 796 of the family's 1533-position model. The record is from RNAcentral.
GUGAGGAAUAUUGGUCAAUGGGCGUAAGCCUGAACCAGCCAAGUCGCGUGAGGGAAGACGGUCCUACGGAUUGUAAACCUCUUUUGCCGGGGAGCAACGGGGUCCUUGCGAGGGCUCAAUGAGAGUACCCGGAGAAAAAGCAUCGGCUAACUCCGUGCCAGCAGCCGCGGUAAUACGGAGGAUGCGAGCGUUAUCCGGAUUUAUUGGGUUUAAAGGGUGCGUAGGCGGGCUGUUAAGUCAGCGGUCAAAUGUCGGGGCUCAACCCCGGCCCGCCGUUGAAACUGGCAGUCUCGAGUUGGAGAGAAGUAUGCGGAAUGCGCGGUGUAGCGGUGAAAUGCAUAGAUAUCGCGCAGAACUCCGAUUGCGAAGGCAGCAUGCCGGCUCCACACUGACGCUGAGGCACGAAAGCGUGGGUAUCGAACAGGAUUAGAUACCCUAGUAGUCC